UGGACGAAGUCUGACGGCAGCACGCCGCGUGAGUGAUGAAGGCUUUCGGGUCGUAAAACUCUGUUGUUAGGGAAGAACAAGUGCUAGUUGAAUAAGCUGGCACCUUGACGGUACCUAACCAGAAAGCCACGGCUAACUACGUGCCAGCAGCCGCGGUAAUA
RNAcentral lists this ribosomal RNA (161 nucleotides) under uncultured Bacilli bacterium. RNAcentral's name for it is "partial 16S ribosomal RNA". It matches the Rfam family "Bacterial small subunit ribosomal RNA", at positions 372 to 525 of the family's 1533-position model. The record is from RNAcentral. Lineage: Bacteria; Bacillati; Bacillota; Bacilli.